Molecule: ribosomal RNA, 1099 nt
Filed under: Cellulosimicrobium cellulans
Lineage: Bacteria; Bacillati; Actinomycetota; Actinomycetes; Micrococcales; Promicromonosporaceae
Description: bacterial SSU rRNA
Rfam family: Bacterial small subunit ribosomal RNA
Source: RNAcentral
GGAAUUUUGCCCAAUGGGGGAAACCCUGAUCCAGGGACCCCGGGGGAGGGAUGAAGCCUUUGGGUUGUAACCUUUUUUCAGCAGGGAAGAAGCCCAAGUGACGGUACCUGCAGAAGAAGCGCCGGCUAAUUAGGGCCAGCAGCCGCGGUAAUACGUAGGGCGCAAGCGUUGUCCGGAAUUAUUGGGCGUAAAGAGCUCGUAGGCGGUUUGUCGCGUCUGGUGUGAAAACUCGAGGCUCAACCUCGAGCUUGCAUCGGGUACGGGCAGACUAGAGUGCGGUAGGGGAGACUGGAAUUCCUGGUGUAGCGGUGGAAUGCGCAGAUAUCAGGAGGAACACCGAUGGCGAAGGCAGGUCUCUGGGCCGCAACUGACGCUGAGGAGCGAAAGCAUGGGGAGCGAACAGGAUUAGAUACCCUGGUAGUCCAUGCCGUAAACGUUGGGCACUAGGUGUGGGGCUCAUUCCACGAGUUCCGUGCCGCAGCAAACGCAUUAAGUGCCCCGCCUGGGGAGUACGGCCGCAAGGCUAAAACUCAAAGGAAUUGACGGGGGCCCGCACAAGCGGCGGAGCAUGCGGAUUAAUUCGAUGCAACGCGAAGAACCUUACCAAGGCUUGACAUGCACGGGAAGCCACCAGAGAUGGUGGUCUCUUUGGACACUCGUGCACAGGUGGUGCAUGGUUGUCGUCAGCUCGUGUCGUGAGAUGUUGGGUUAAGUCCCGCAACGAGCGCAACCCUCGUCCCAUGUUGCCAGCGGGUUAUGCCGGGGACUCAUGGGAGACUGCCGGGGUCAACUCGGAGGAAGGUGGGGAUGACGUCAAAUCAUCAUGCCCCUUAUGUCUUGGGCUUCACGCAUGCUACAAUGGCCGGUACAAAGGGCUGCGAUACCGUAAGGUGGAGCGAAUCCCAAAAAGCCGGUCUCAGUUCGGAUUGGGGUCUGCAACUCGACCCCAUGAAGUCGGAGUCGCUAGUAAUCGCAGAUCAGCAACGCUGCGGUGAAUACGUUCCCGGGCCUUGUACACACCGCCCGUCAAGUCACGAAAGUCGGUAACACCCGAAGCCCAUGGCCCAACCGUCGCGGGGGGAGUGGUCGAAGUGUCCCU